Molecule: ribosomal RNA, 252 nt
Filed under: uncultured bacterium
Lineage: Bacteria
Description: partial 16S ribosomal RNA
Rfam family: Bacterial small subunit ribosomal RNA
Source: RNAcentral
CGAAGGGCUAGCGUUGUUCGGAAUUACUGGGCGUAAAGCGCACGUAGGCGGAUAUUUAAGUCAGGGGUGAAAUCCCGCAGCUCAACUGCGGAACUGCCUUUGAUACUGGGUAUCUUGAGUAUGGAAGAGGUAAGUGGAAUUCCGAGUGUAGAGGUGAAAUUCGUAGAUAUUCGGAGGAACACCAGUGGCGAAGGCGGCUUACUGGUCCAUUACUGACGCUGAGGUGCGAAAGCGUGGGGAGCAAACAGGAUU